This 495-nucleotide ribosomal RNA is filed under the name uncultured bacterium. Its description in RNAcentral is "partial 16S ribosomal RNA". It matches the Rfam family "Bacterial small subunit ribosomal RNA", at positions 28 to 507 of the family's 1533-position model. The record is from RNAcentral.
GACGAACGCUGGCGGCGUGCCUAAUACAUGCAAGUAGAACGCAGAAGGAGGAGCUUGCUUCUCUGGAUGAGUUGCGCACGGGUGAGUAACGCGUAGGUAAACUGCCUGGAAGCGGGGGGUAACACUUGGAGACGAUAGCUAAUACCGCAUAAUAGAAGAUGUUGCAUAACAUUCGCUUAAAAGGUGCAAUUGCAUCACUACCAGAUGGACCUGCGUCGUAUUAGCUAGUUGGUGGGGUUACGGCGCACCAAGGCGACCAUUCCUAGCCGACCUUGGGGGGGGGUCGGCCCCCCUGGGACCUGGGCACCGCCCAGGCUCCUUCGGGGGGCAGCCGUAGGGGAUCUUCGGCAAUUGACGGAAGUCUUACCGGGCAACGCCGCGUGAGUUGAGGAGGUUUUCGGGUCGUAAAGCUCUGUUGUAAGGGAAGAACGAGUGUGGGAGUGGAAAGUUCACACUUUGACGGUAUCUUACCAGAAAGGGACGGCUAACUACGUG